This 518-nucleotide ribosomal RNA is filed under the name uncultured bacterium. Its description in RNAcentral is "bacterial SSU rRNA". It matches the Rfam family "Bacterial small subunit ribosomal RNA", at positions 28 to 526 of the family's 1533-position model. The record is from RNAcentral.
GACGAACGCUGGCGGCGUGCCUAAUACAUGCAAGUCGAGCGGAUCAACGAGGAGCUUGCUCCUCAGAGGUCAGCGGCGGACGGGUGAGUAACACGUGGGCAACCUGCCUGUAAGACUGGGAUAACUCCGGGAAACCGGGGCUAAUACCGGAUAACAUUCUCCUCUGCAUAGAGGGGAAUUAAAAGAUGGCUUCGGCUAUCACUUACAGAUGGGCCCGCGGCGCAUUAGCUAGUUGGUGAGGUAAGAGCUCACCAAGGCGACGAUGCGUAGCCGACCUGAGAGGGUGAUCGGCCACACUGGGACUGAGACACGGCCCAGACUCCUACGGGAGGCAGCAGUAGGGAAUCUUCGGCAAUGGACGAAAGUCUGACCGAGCAACGCCGCGUGAGUGAGGAAGGCCUUCGGGUCGUAAAGCUCUGUUGUUAGGGAAGAACAAGUACCGUUCGAACAGGGCGGUACCUUGACGGUACCUAACCAGAAAGCCACGGCUAACUACGUGCCAGCCGCCGCCGUAAAAC